Molecule: non-coding RNA, 73 nt
Organism: Schistocerca gregaria
Lineage: Eukaryota; Metazoa; Arthropoda; Insecta; Orthoptera; Acrididae
Source: the annotation of a RefSeq genome assembly
GCCCGGCUAGCUCAGUCAGUAGAGCUUGAGACUCUUAACCUCAGGGUCAUGGGUUCGAGCCCCACACUGGGCG